Molecule: ribosomal RNA, 356 nt
Filed under: uncultured Selenomonas sp.
Lineage: Bacteria; Bacillati; Bacillota; Negativicutes; Selenomonadales; Selenomonadaceae
Description: bacterial SSU rRNA
Rfam family: Bacterial small subunit ribosomal RNA
Source: RNAcentral
AGUAGUUUGACUCCGUGGCUCGAGGACGAACGCUGGCGGCGUGCUUAACACAUGCAAGUCGAACGGGGCGAUUUUAAGCUUGCUUAGAUGAGCCUAGUGGCAAACGGGUGAGUAACGCGUAGGCAACCUGCCUCUAAGAUGGGGACAACAGUCCGAAAGGACUGCUAAUACCGAAUGUUGUGGGUUUUCCGCAUGGGAGACUCAUUAAAGAUGGCCUCUAUUUAUAAGCUAUCACUUAGAGAUGGGCCUGCGUCUGAUUAGCUAGUUGGUGGGGUAACGGCUCACCAAGGCGACGAUCAGUAGCCGGUCUGAGAGGAUGAACGGCCACAUUGGGACUGAGACACGGCCCAGACUCC